UACGAAGGGGGCUAGCGUUGCUCGGAAUCACUGGGCGUAAAGCGCACGUAGGCGGGUCUUUAAGUCAGGGGUAAAAUCCUGGAGCUCAACUCCAGAACUGCCUUUGAUACUGAGGAUCUCGAGUCCGGGAGAGGUGAGUGGAACUCCGAGUGUAGAGGUGAAAUUCGUAGAUAUUCGGAAGAACACCAGUGGCGAAGGCGGCUCACUGGCCCGGUACUGACGCUGAGGUGCGAAAGCGUGGGGAGCAAACAGG
This 253-nucleotide ribosomal RNA is filed under the name uncultured bacterium. Its description in RNAcentral is "partial 16S ribosomal RNA". It matches the Rfam family "Bacterial small subunit ribosomal RNA", at positions 524 to 776 of the family's 1533-position model. The record is from RNAcentral.